Molecule: transfer RNA, 62 nt
Filed under: Gramastacus insolitus
Lineage: Eukaryota; Metazoa; Arthropoda; Malacostraca; Decapoda; Parastacidae
Description: tRNA-Asn
Source: RNAcentral
UUGGCUGAAGCCAAAAAGCGGCGUAUCACUGUUAAUGAUAGAACUGAAUUUUUCCAGCCAAG